CAGAGUCGUAAAAAACUCCAAACCCAUGUGAAUUUACCUUUGUUGCCUCGGCGGACCUACCUGGUACCUACCCUGUAGCCCGCCGGUGGACCAUAUAACUCUUGUUAAUUUAUAGAAAUCUGAGCGUCUUAUUAAAUAAGUCA
This 143-nucleotide unclassified non-coding RNA is filed under the name uncultured fungus. Its description in RNAcentral is "sequence contains ITS1". The record is from RNAcentral. Lineage: Eukaryota; Fungi.